Molecule: transfer RNA, 63 nt
Filed under: Marmota monax (woodchuck)
Lineage: Eukaryota; Metazoa; Chordata; Mammalia; Rodentia; Sciuridae
Description: tRNA.Thr
Rfam family: tRNA (bases 6-61)
About the family: Transfer RNA (tRNA) molecules are approximately 80 nucleotides in length. Their secondary structure includes four short double-helical elements and three loops (D, anti-codon, and T loops).
Source: RNAcentral
GCUACAGCUCAGUGGUAGAGCACAUGCCUAGUGUGCAUGAAGCCAUGGGUUCAAUCCCUAGCA